UUCACUAAGGUUGAUAAACCUUGACAUGCCUAUGGGGCUACUAUCAUGUUUCAUCCAAUGCAUAUCAGUGCAUACUAUCUAUAGAUAGAACAAUGGGAUGAUAUCAAACACUCUGAUAAGUGUAACAUGAAGUUAGUGCAGACUUAAAAAUUAGGC
This 156-nucleotide non-coding RNA is filed under the name unclassified sequences. The record is from RNAcentral.